This is an RNA transcript of Arachis stenosperma, 3491 nucleotides long. RefSeq lists it as uncharacterized. The transcript has 10 exons. NCBI's taxonomy places the organism in Eukaryota, Viridiplantae, Streptophyta, Magnoliopsida, Fabales, Fabaceae. The record is from RefSeq and is a predicted model, not a curated record.
AGAAAGGGGGAAAACAGGGGAAGCUUGAAGAAAGAAAAAAAAAAGAAAAAGAAAAGAAAGAAAGACAGAGAAGGGAGAAAGGGUUAUCGAGGGAGAAGAGAGGAAGAGAGGGUUGUGUCGGGGAAGAAAAGGAGAGGAAGAGAGGUCUGAGGGAGAAGUGAGUUGCGUCGCAGGGGAGAAGAGGGAGACCGAGCCGUCGCGCCACCACCGAAUCAUCGCGCCGCCACGCCGCCGCCACCGUCGGGCUGCUGUGCUGCCAUCGAUACGGUUCAGAGAGGAAGGAAGCGCUACGGUGAGGAAGGGAGCAGGAGCCCAUCGCGCUCGCUGCAAGCCCGUCGUCCGUGUCUUGUCGCCGCGCUGGAGUCGUCGCCGCCAAUGCUGAGCACCGCCGCUGCCGCCUUUGAGGGGAGCCGCCACCAUAGCUGGGAAGAACGGAGUAGGGGAGAGGAGGUUUUGUUGAUGUUGUGGCAGAGAAGGAGGACGAGACGUGUGAGAGAGAGUGACGCACAGAGGAGAGACCAUUCCUCUGCCGCCACCGAUCGCUGCCAUCAUUAAUGGUGAGUCAGUUAAGCCCUAGCUAUGAGAACCACCAUCUCUGAACCCUUAUUGCUCUGUAAAAUACCCUUAUUGUUUGUUGGGGUUUGUCUCAAUUGGAGUCACUGGUGAAGGCGUUGCCGCUGCUGGAAGCCAACGUCGAGGCUGUUGCUGGUUCUGAUUCUAUUAUCCUGGGCUGUUACACUGGUUAAAGAAUAUACACAAAAUUAUGAUACUUACAUUGGAAGGAUUUGAUAACAAAGAAGAAUCAAUGCUAUAUUGAUGCAAGAUCCAUCCACCAUCAUGGCUAGUACCACUCUUCUCAAAGCGAUAUCGUUUCCUCAUUCCAAUGCGCUGGUUAGUUUUAUUGGCCAUAAUCUCUUUUCCGAUGUCUUCCCCUUCCCAACAACCCAACCCGAUGGUGCGAACCAUUCUCAAGCUGUUAGUCGAGAACUUCCUCUUCAGACUAGUGAAGAAAUAGAGGUCCUUCCCGUCAUAAGAAUUUUCAACGUUUUCUUCCCAAAUUUCCCAUGGAUUCUUCUCCGUACCAAACAAUUCACCUUCAAGAAUGGUUCCAUAGUUUGGUAGAGGCCUCCCAUUGAUUUUGUUACGGAGAAAAUCUUGAAUGAGUUCUUCAUCUGUAGAUAAUUUUCGUUGAUAAUUGGUUUCAAUUCGGUGUAUAGGAGCUUGCUUGCAAGAUAUAUUCCCCCAGGUAUUGCUCUUUACCUUUAAAAUUUGAAAAUAUAAUUGAAUUAUGGUAAUCUAUUGUUGGAUUUUAAGUAUAAUAAUUGCUACUCUGUGAUCUGGUGUUAUUUAUACUGUAUUCUAGCUGCAAAUUUUCUAUUGUGGAUUGAAUUUACAUUCAAAUAAUUAAAUAAUUAACUAAUUAAAAAAAAAAGAAAUAUUAUUAAGUGAUGGACAUUCUAUAUGCAUGUUAAACAGACAGUAACCGCAUGUUUUUAGAUAAAUGAGUAGCUUUAUAUGUUGAGAUUUUCACCUCAAAAUCCUUACAAAAGACUACUAAUUUCACCUGAACAAUUUCUGAUAUUAAUUGUUUAACACUGUGAUUGGUUCCCUUCCAAAUUUUCAGAAACUAACAUUGGUUGUUUCCAUUUACAUGAAAACAAGCUUGAAAGAGUUCUUUUAGCCUAUGAUUGCCAAAUUGCUAAGUAUUUUUGUGUGCAUUAAUCUGUGCAUGCGACCAACAUGUAAGUAUGUCUCUUUCAAGAUUCCAAAAUGAACACUCUGGCCCAUCAUUUUAAAGAAUUUUUGUUCAUAACAGAACACUUAAGGCGGUGGCUAUUGAAAAUCCAAAUGAUGCUGAUCAAGCUGCUGAAAUUGUUCUCAGUGAAUUGCACAGAGACUUAAUAUUGCCACUACCAUGGAAGAGUAUGUCUAAUUUAUUGCAGUUGGAAAUUCAAGAAUAAAACAAAGACUCGACAAAAAUUCAAGACUGAAAUAGAGUAUUUGCUCUUAAAGUUGGGCACCUGGCAGUUCUCAAAUAAACAAGUAAUUGGACGGGAUUUUGAUUCAAAUUCAAAUUGGAAAUGGUUUUAUUCCAGGACUUGCAGCUGCAUUUUUAUUGUUAACAAGAAGAGAAGACAUGAGAGAGCGCGCUGCAAGUUUUGAAAGGGGGAGUAGUUGGCACCAUAUGAGGGAAAGACUUCCUCUUUCGAUGUCGCAGAGAAGAGAAGAAGAAAACAACGGUGAAGAAACAAAGAACGAUGGGAGAAGGAGAAGAGGGUGGCGACGACAGGGACGGUCACAGAGAAGGAUGCCAGAUCGAUAGAGAAAAGAAGAGAAAUGAGGCGACAGUGGUGAUGGAUGCCACCGCCGCUGUUGGAUCCGUAGAACUGUGUCCAUUUACCUAUCAAUCGGCAUUCUGCAGAGUUAUCCAUUUGAGUUGUGGAGUAUACACAAAUCAAUUUGUGGUUCAAAAUACCUAGACAUAUCACUAGUGAAGAAGUAGGAGGAAUUCACUGGUGAUGGAAGCAGUAACUGACAGAGAAGAUAGAGAAUGUGUAUUUUCGACCUGUAGAAAGUCCUAGUCCUAACCUUGCACACUUUGCCCUUCUUCAGAGAUGGUGUCAAGCUUUGGAGGGAAUAAAUUGAAAAAGCUAAAUCAGCUCUGGCUAAGGAUGAGGCUAAGCUUUCAAAAUUGAAAAAAGAAGAAAGCACACUUAAAGAUAUUGUGCAACAGUGAAGUAGUAUCCUUUUUCUUUCAUGCUGCUCAUGACUGACUCUGAACUUGAAUGUAAUGAAAAACAGCUGCCAGAUGCACCAGACAGGACACCGGCUGCCAAUAUUAAAGGUGGCUGAAGCAUUGCAUUUUUAGGCAUUGUCUAAGUCUCUAAGCCAUUAACUGUAGACGAACUGCUUUAUUUAAAGGAGGAGUUUACACUUUUGGAGCCAAACAAAAAUGGAACUAUUAGCCUAAAAAACAUCAAAGCGGCCUCGAUAAAAAACGCAACAAAUGCUAUGGAGUCACACAUUAUUGACUUUUUUGGAUCAAUUCCAUGAUGCAAAUUCCACGUCACUGGAGUUUAGUGUUCUUAAGGAUCUCAUUGAGAUUUUAGAGAGCAAAAGUAGCCUCAAUGAAGAGGCAGGGGGCUUGCAAUAUUUCCAAUCAAAUUGCUACGUUUUGAUGUAUCUGUUUGGUAAAAAAGGCUUAGAUUUUGGAGGAUGUCCAUUUUUGCUUCAAAAGAGGGUCUUAAUGCGGUAUUCGAGUGAUUAUUUGUUUAUGGAUAGUUUUUCUAGAACAAUUGAUGUAACUGUCUUUUUUUUUUCUUAGUUUAGGUUAUCUUUUUGUAUCAAUUUGUCGUUGGAUAUAUUUUGUGGAACUGAUCUUAUUAACUUCUUUUUAGUUUUGGUAAAUUGAACUUAUAAAAAAAAGCAUGGAAAUAAUUUAAAAACAUAUAUUUGUGUUAAGAUAUGUAAUAAGAAAUCGUGUCCUUAGA